CUACGGGGCGCAGCAGUGGGGAAUAUUGGACAAUGGGGGAAACCCUGAUCCAGCAAUGCCGCGUGUGUGAAGAAGGCCUGCGGGUUGUAAAGCACUUUCGGUUGGGAGGACUGCUUCUAGCACUAAUAUUGUUGGAAGUUGACGUUACCUUCAGAAGAAGCACCGGCUAACUCCGUGCCAGCAGCCGCGGUAAUACGGAGGUUGCAAGCGUUAAUCGGAAUUACUGGGCGUAAAGCGCGCGUAGGCGGCUAGAUCAGUCGGGUGUGAAAGCCCCGGGCUUAACCUGGGAACGGCAUCCGAUACUGUCUAGCUUGAGUACAGGAGAGGAGAGUGGAAUUCCACAUGUAGCGGUGAAAUGCGUAGAUAUGUGGAGGAACACCAAUGGCGAAGGCAGCUCUCUGGCCUGAUACUGACGCUGAGGUGCGAAAGCGUGGGGAGCAAACAGGAUUAGAUACCCCAGUAGUC
Molecule: ribosomal RNA, 465 nt
Filed under: uncultured bacterium
Lineage: Bacteria
Description: partial 16S ribosomal RNA
Rfam family: Bacterial small subunit ribosomal RNA
Source: RNAcentral